GCCAUCCCUGCCCAGAGACCGUGGGGGAAUGGGCAGACAAGGAGAGCGUCCCUGGGGCUGGGGCAGCACAACUCAGAGGCACCAGCGGCUCCAGCUGGGAAAUGGAAUGUGGAAUGUCGCUGGGAAAGCCCUGCCUGGGCUGUGCCAAGCAGGACAGACAAGCCCUGACUCCCAUCCCUGAAACAAAUCUCUCACUGAGACAUUUGAAGUGAAUUAGAAUUGUUUGUGUACUGUGAGUUGGACUCCCUGGAGAAAUACCAACAGGAGAUCCUCAGGAGCUCAAAACAACAAAACAGCCUUUACUGGGAGGAUUUACAUUUUGAAAGGACUGACACCUGACCUGCCAGAGCACAGAAACAGAAGAAGAAGAAACAGUAGAGAGAAAGACAAAAAAGAUACGGAGAAACAUACACACAGCUACCAACUCCUGGAUUUCAGUGGUGUUCAGAUGGAAAUUCCAAGAAGAGGUGCCUGGAGGAGAAGGAGAGCUCUUUUCAAUUGGGAAGGAAGGCACAGAGCCCCAUCAUUUGAAUAGGAGAUGAGAUGAGACCCUCAACAUGCCAAGGUGAUUUAUCAGGCAGCCCCUGGGAGGCCAAACCAGCCAG
Molecule: long non-coding RNA, 605 nt
Organism: Zonotrichia leucophrys gambelii
Lineage: Eukaryota; Metazoa; Chordata; Aves; Passeriformes; Passerellidae
Exons: 4
Source: RefSeq, a predicted model, not a curated record